AUUGAACGCUGGCGGCAUGCCUUACACAUGCAAGUCGAACGGCAGCACGGGUGCUUGCACCUGGUGGCGAGUGGCGAACGGGUGAGUAAUACAUCGGAACAUGUCCUGUAGUGGGGGAUAGCCCGGCGAAAGCCGGAUUAAUACCGCAUACGAUCUACGGAUGAAAGCGGGGGACCUUCGGGCCUCGCGCUAUAGGGUUGGCCGAUAGCUGAUUAGCUAGUUGGUGGGGUAAAGGCCUACCAAGGCGACGAUCAGUAGCUGGUCUGAGAGGACGACCAGCCACACUGGGACUGAGACACGGCCCAGACUCCUACGGGAGGCAGCAGUGGGGAAUUUUGGACAAUGGGCGAAAGCCUGAUCCAGCAAUGCCGCGUGUGUGAAGAAGGCCUUCGGGUUGUAAAGCACUUUUGUCCGGAAAGAAAUCCUUGGCUCUAAUACAGUCGGGGGAUGACGGUACCGGAAGAAUAAGCACCGGCUAACUACGUGC
Molecule: ribosomal RNA, 487 nt
Filed under: uncultured bacterium
Lineage: Bacteria
Description: partial 16S ribosomal RNA
Rfam family: Bacterial small subunit ribosomal RNA
Source: RNAcentral